AAAGCUUCGAAUCAUCUGUUCUUGUCAGUUUAAUAUCUGAUAGGUCCCCUAUCUGGGGACCAUAUAUUAAAUCGAUUUUUGGAACAGGGAGAUGGAAUAGGGGCUUGCUCCGUCCACUCCACGCAACGAACUGGUAUUGCAGUACCUCCAGGAUCGGUGCACCCCCU
Small nuclear RNA from Oncorhynchus mykiss (rainbow trout), 167 nucleotides. Its record names the gene U2. It matches the Rfam family "U2 spliceosomal RNA". From Rfam's summary of the family: U2 is a small nuclear RNA (snRNA) component of the spliceosome (involved in pre-mRNA splicing). NCBI's taxonomy places the organism in Eukaryota, Metazoa, Chordata, Actinopteri, Salmoniformes, Salmonidae. The record is from Ensembl.